UAAAAAGGAAUGAUUGCUGGUUGCUUUAAGGUCUUGAUCUUUUCAGCAGCUCAUUAUCAAUCAAAACAAUGGUAAUAUAAUAUACCGUAAUACCUAAACUGAUAGAUGCGAGUCUGGUGCAAAGUAGUUUCUGGUGAUUUCGAUAAGAAUCAAAAAUAAUUCAAAUAUUUUCUUUCCACCACGCGACUCGCUCCGUGUUAUCGUCGCCAAAACUGCUUAAUGUUCACAACGACCAGUGUCCAAAAAUAUAAUUCACGUUUGAUUAAAAUAUGAAGAUCUUUAUCUCGUUCACUGUACUUUUAAUUUUUUUUCUCGUGAAUGAUUAUCAUAAAGAAGUCAUUGUCCCCGAAGCAUUGAACUUGUAUGUUCAGUCAUUACUUUACCUUGAAUUUAAUUUUUAGACAGGUCUACAUAAACUGUUUAAUCACAUCAGGAAAACGAGUUUAUUACUUAAUGGUUGACAUCAUUUAUUAUUCACCGGCCGGUUAAUGUAUUGUUGGUCGAAAUUUUGCAAAUGUUCGUGAUGCAAACGAUUUUGGAAAGCGUUAGAAGUCAGGAGAUAAUGGCAUUCAUAAAUAAUCUAUGGAAAUGCUUUGAUUUUAUUCUGAAUAAAAUUAUUUGUUCAGAAAAACGGGCAUCGUGCAUAUGGUUGAUGGUUUGUAUCUCAAAAUGGACUGCAUUAGUUUAAAUGCUUUCAAAAUGUAGAAUUUUGCAAAUAAAGUUGAAGAUAUGGACAAUGAAACGUGGUGCAUUAUGCGAUAUGAUAGAAACAAAAAGGGUUUGGAUAUCCUUGUCCUCGCGGCGGAUAUCAAAGAGGAUGCAAUGUUGAUAAUGCUUUUAUCGUAAUAAAUAAUGAACUAAACGGGUUUGAGCGAAUUUGUUCGUAAUCUGAAGUGCAUAUUUGAGAACGAAUAAAUAGGAGCUGCCAGCAUUUCUCUGAAGCUUCCAAAAGAAAAGUUAAGAUGACGAACUGUAUUUACUUUAUUAUAACCUUGCAUAUUCUCUUCUCCUGCGAUACAAUUUAUUUUUUACAAACCUAAAAAAGAAAAAGAAAAGAAAA
Long non-coding RNA from Hermetia illucens (black soldier fly), 1060 nucleotides. RefSeq lists it as uncharacterized. Lineage: Eukaryota; Metazoa; Arthropoda; Insecta; Diptera; Stratiomyidae. The transcript has 3 exons. The record is from RefSeq and is a predicted model, not a curated record.